GGGUGAUUAGCUCAGCUGGGAGAGCACCUCCCUUACAAGGAGGGGGUCGGCCGGUUCGAUCCCGUCAUCACCCACCA
RNAcentral lists this transfer RNA (77 nucleotides) under Escherichia coli. RNAcentral describes it as "tRNA-Val(tac)". It matches the Rfam family "tRNA". From Rfam's summary of the family: Transfer RNA (tRNA) molecules are approximately 80 nucleotides in length. Their secondary structure includes four short double-helical elements and three loops (D, anti-codon, and T loops). The record is from RNAcentral. Lineage: Bacteria; Pseudomonadati; Pseudomonadota; Gammaproteobacteria; Enterobacterales; Enterobacteriaceae.